RNAcentral lists this long non-coding RNA (1710 nucleotides) under Androctonus crassicauda. The record is from RNAcentral. Lineage: Eukaryota; Metazoa; Arthropoda; Arachnida; Scorpiones; Buthidae.
AAUUUUUAAGAAAAAAAUAUUAAUGGUUCUUAUAAUUAAAUAUAAAAAAUUUGAUAAUCAGCAUUUUAUAUUUUUUAUAUUUUUAUUUUUACAGAUGACAUUUGGUGUUUCCACUCAGGGAGGCUGCUCUGAGUAUAACCUUCCUUCUGCACCAUAUUUCACUGCUGCAUUCAGUUACUCCCCCAAGUGGAGUGCAGCUCCAGAACACCCACCAUGGCAACACCAAACACCUUGCAACCACAGGCCUUAGACAGCACUUGUUAUGUGAAGGACAAGCUAUGACUGCCACCAAUGGUGAGGUCCCUUGUGGUGACCCUCGCUUGUCUUGCAUACACAUGAAUAGAAAAGGAUGACCAGUGCGUUUCUUACCUGUGUUGUGUUCUGUGUUGAUAUUUGAACACUUGGAUGCAUUAUUCACUCAUCGGUCUGUUCUAAAUCGUAACCAGUUUACAUCAUAAUCUAUGCUACUGUCAUCACCAUGUUAACCCAUAUACUGUCAUUUUUUGUUGACAUUGUUAUAUGUGUGACUCCCAAGCCCAUUUCGUUUCUAUGAUAUUGUUGCUAUUGUUGUGAAAAAAAUUUUAUCUCCUAUAGUAUGCUCAGUAUAUUCAGAGUGGCCCUACUUUUUAAAUGUUUUAAAAGGGGAAAAUGAAUAAUCUCCACAAUUCGGGAUGCCAAGCAACAGGCAGAUGUCUUCUCAGUCUUACCAUUAGAAGCUUUUAGUCAACAAAUUUCUGUGAAUGUUAAUAGUAGUAUCAUGUUCAUUCUGAAAUAGAAACCCUUGUAUUGUAUCUUGUAAAUUUCCAUGGCAAGACUCAUGAGCCAUGUUGAUCAAUUAUAUUACUUGACAAACAGCCAGGCUAUGUUAUUCUGUGGGACUUUAUUCUGCCUGGUGUUCUAUUUGUGAUUGUCUAUGUAUUAUAAAGACAGAGGCCAAAUGGCAGGCUACCUCUUAGAGUUUUGCCUAGGCCUGGUUCCUUUUGUGACUGUCCAAAAAACUGGCAGUGAUACACUGUUGGAUGAUAUGAAUAUGAAAGUAAAAAAAAAUAAAUAACACAAUAAGCAAUAUCACCAUCCAGACUUAACAUAGUGAUCAGAGCCAGUUUCCCCACAAUCCCAUCAGUUCCUGUCUUACCAUGAUGUAACCCUUCGUGUUUUCCCAUCUUGGGAACAGGAGUGGCCUACCUGUAGCAUCUGUCCACUGGUUCCUAAUAAGAUACUCCCAGAAAACUGGAGUUUUAUUGUAUCUGUAUACGGACCCCUUUAUGCAUGUAUUCUAUGUAAAAGUGAUGCACUAGAUGUGGUUAGUGUAUCAACUGGAUGUGGUUCUCCACAAAACAAAGCAAUAGUAACCAUUGUUGUUUCAUGUAUGCCGAACAUGUACAGUUGUUACAAGGCAAGAGACCUAUAAAAUAUUUCAUACUUUGAUAUUAUUUUUUGCUUUCAGUAGUAAUUGCCAGAAUUCACAUAAUCCCGUAUCUUAUGGGUUCAUGGCAAUCCUGAUCCCAUCCUUAACAAAAUUUUUGUAAUGGCAAUUAGAUAGCACAUAUAUUUAUUCUUACUUUACCAUAAUAAAUUAAAGUACAUAAAUGAAUAAUCAACGAGUGAUGGUAAUACAAAGAAAUAACAUGGUAAAGCUUGAAAGCUGAAAUGAAAGCAAUAUUAAAAACACUUUCAUGUUAUUUGUGAGGCCUUUCAGGAUAAAAAAAA